RNA transcript from Aegilops tauschii subsp. strangulata, 4427 nucleotides. It is a transcript of the gene named putative disease resistance protein RGA1, with no coding region annotated. The record is from RefSeq and is a predicted model, not a curated record. Lineage: Eukaryota; Viridiplantae; Streptophyta; Magnoliopsida; Poales; Poaceae.
ACGCAAAAAAAAAAGGAACUUGCCUUUCACUUUCCCCUCAGCUUCCUCCUCCAUUCCUCUUUGCUGUGCCGGUGCGACAGCGAUCGAAGUAGCCAACACGGCGCGGCGGCGGCGGCGGCGGCGGUUUUCCUGACCGUCUUCGGACUACCGGAAGCAGCACCACCGUAUUUGGCUUGCGUCGAUCUAGCCACACCCGCAGGAACCCAGAGGUGUCUACAUCAUCCUAGUAAAAUCCAGUCAAUCAGUUCCCUCUUUCUCUUCCAUCCAUCUCGAGUCGCCAAUCACUUGCCUGGGUCUACAAUCUACAUACUGGUGACUGUGAGUAGAUCCGGCUGUGCAAGCUAUCAUUCAGUCGAUUGAUCUGCAAAUGAUGAUGGCCGACAGCAGAAAGGGAUAGCAGCUUUUCUUUAUCAUGGGCAUCCGAGACCGAUAGGAGUGAUCUUGGACAUCACCGUUCACCGUACCUCGAGCUCUACCUCCACGACCAAAGAAAUUGGUAUCCAGACUCCAAUCUCUAUGAGCAUAUCCCGGGCCAUUGGGGUCAUUAGUGGCCUCAAUGAAUGUGUCAAUUUGUUUCAGUGGGCUGGAUCUUCUAUUUCGUAUCUGCGCUCCCGGUGGUCUGCAACACAGGAGGAAAGUAUCCAUCAUGAAGUAUUGCACUUGCAGAGUGGCUUACAACGUCUUAGGGAUACUCUUCCUGCAAUGUACAGUCUUAUUGACAAAGCAGAGUGGAGGAUCCAUGAAGGCCGUGUCGCUGAGCUCCUCCCCAACCUCAAAGAUGCAGUGAAUGAUGCUGAUGAUCUUCUUGAUGAGUUCAGAUGGCAUGAGCUAAAGAUGGAGGUGGAGGGCAAUGCAAGUCAUUCUGCCUUUAUUGACUUCUACAAGACUACCGUACAAGGCAGCUUCAACAAAGUGAAUGAUAUCCAAGAGAGGUUGAAUAGUAUUUCUGGUCAGCUAGAGAAAAUGGGGCUGUAUGGAGUGACACCAGGGUUCGACAAAUCAGUCAGGCCAGACACUACCCCUUUCCCGAAUGAAAAAAAAAUAUUUGGUCGUGACAAGGAUCUGAAGGAGGUGAUGGGAUUUCUCGGUGUACCUCAAAGUAAAGGAAGGGCCUGUUCAAAACGCAAGAGAGCAAGUAGCACAGUCAAUGCAUCAACAAGCACAACAGCACAGAACCAAGUUAAUAAAUCAAGAAUAUCAGCUAUUCCUGUUUUGCCAAUAGUUGGAAUGGGGGGCGUUGGAAAGACCACUUUGGCUCAACAUAUAUGCAAUCAUCAAGAGGUGAAAGAGUACUUUGACUUAAUAAUCUGGAUUUGUGCAGAUGACUUUGAUGUAAAGAGAUUAAUUAAAGAUGCCAUACAAUCCGCUUCCGGAAAAAAGACAACACUCGAUCAUUUAGCUUCUCUUCAACAUGCUCUUUCUAGCAGUGUGAGCAAUAAAAGGUUCUUGAUUGUUGUUGAUGACGUGUGGGAUGAUGCCUUGAUGGAAAAUGAGCAGCGUUGGAAAGACUUCUAUGAUUCUUUGACAAACGUGGUACAGGGAAGUAUGAUGUUGGUCACAACAAGAUUUCCAGAUGUUGCUGAUAGAGUGCGCACAAUGGAGCCCUUUCCAUUAGCUGGUUUGAAGGAGGAUGUGUUUUGGCGUUUCUUCAAACUUUGUGCAUUUGGGUCUGAGAGUUGCGAAAAUGAUCCUGAGUUAGUGAGGAUUGGCAAAAGCAUAGUUCCAAAGUUGAAGGGUUCUCCUUUGGCCGCCAAAACUCUUGGACGCCUAUUAGGAAUGAACCUUCAUACAGCACAUUGGAAUAAUAUACUGGAGAGUGAACUCUGGAAGUUGAAACAAGAGAAGACUGAUAUCUUGCCAGCCCUUCGGUUGAGCUACAUAUAUUUGCCAUUUCACUUGAAGAGAUGCUUCUCAUUCUGUGCUGUGUAUGCCAAAGAUCACAAAUUUGAAAAGGGCCGCUUAGCUGAAAUUUGGGUAGCAGAGGGCUUUGUGGAACCUCAAGGCAACACUCCACUUGAAGAUAUUGGCCAUCAGUACUUUGAGGACCUUGUAAAUAGGUCCUUCUUUCAAAAAGUUCGUGGUACAUACGUAAUCCAUGACUUGCUGCAUGACAUGGCAAAACUAGUUUCAGACCAUGACUGCUUCACCAUAAAAAGUAUGAGGGACUUCCAAAUGGUUCCCCAGAAUGUUCGUCAUCUGUACAUACUGCCAAGCAGAGACUUGAGCACUUCCAACUUGUUGAGCCUAAGCAAGCACACAAAGCUGCGUACGCUAAUUUGUGACAAGUCUUUUGGGAAUCAAGGUGCAGCUAUAAUGGACCGUUGGUGUAGUGAGCUUCAGCGUUUACGUGUGAUUUUUUGGGCCUCUUCAAAUGAGUUGCCAGACAGUAUUGGCAACUUGAAGCAUCUUCGGUACCUUGAAAUCUCCAAGGCUUGUCCUUCCAAGAGCUUUUCUUCAGCAUUUUGUUCCCUCUAUAAUCUGCAGAGAUUAUACGUGAAGGAGUGCGAGUUAGAAAGUUUGCCCUGUGACUUUAGUAAGUUAAUAAGUUUACAGAGAUUUAAAUCACGAGGAUUUGAAUAUUAUGCAGGGUGCACUCUAAAUAUUGAUGCAACCAAUCAGUUCGAAAUGAAGUUGAUAAAGAAUUUGAACCAAUUUGAUGGACAUAUGAACAUACGGAAUCUUGGUUCUGUGAGGAAUUGUUAUGCAGAAGAAUUUAAACUGAAGGAUAAGAAGUAUCUUCGCAGACUGGCAUUGACAUGGUCUUUGUCGUACUCUCCUGAGGGUGUCGCGAAAGAAGUGCUUCAAGUCCUACAACCUCCCAGCGGUCUUGAAUCUCUGCUCCUUAAAGAUUAUCCAGAUGUGUCUCUCCCAAACUGGUUUCAGCUGCGUAUAAACCUAAAUGAGAUGCCUGCUGUGAUAGUUGACAACAAUAAUGACGAGAUUGGUACUUUGUCGUCCUUUGAAGAGCUAAUCAUUCUUCAGUGUCGAAAUCUACGAAGCGUCCAACAACUUCUGCAUCCAGCUUAUGUGCCUGCCAUCAAGAAAUUAAGGGUUGUUGAUUGCAACCAGUUAGAAUCAUUACCAACUGAAAGGUUUGGGGAUUUUCAUUCCCUUGAGAUAUUAGAAGUGCAUGGUUGUCCAGAAAUCGACUCGAGAAGUUUGGUGGCGCACUCCCUCAAGAAGCUCUUAUUGGCAAGUUCUCAUCUCACAGACAAUAUCCAGUGCUGCUCCCUCACCGAGUUCUAUUUAUCAUGUGACUAUGUCACGACCAUCAAACCCCAAAUGUGGAAUCUUCCAGCUCUACAAAAGUUGCAUAUUGCAUACUGCAUAUCUCUUACAUCUGUUGCACAAGGACAACCACCCAUCAGGGCAUUCGAAUCCCUUACAUUGCUAAUCAUUGACAAUUGUGAGAACCUGACAAGCCUUGAUGGUCUCCUAGCGGAACAAUGUUUGCCUGCCAUUCGAAGUGUUGAUGUUAGGAAUUGUGGCAAGUUACAGUUCCUUUUUGGUGAAAGGCCUGGGAGUUUUCCUUACCUGGAAGAUUUGUGGGUUCGUGAUUGCCCUAGUCUCAAAUGGCCAAGGGAACUGGUGUUACCAUCAUCCCUAGAAAAGCUUCACUUAGUUCGAUGUGGGGAUAUUUCCUCCUGGUUUUUGAGCUGCCUACAAAACCUCAAAUCUCUGGUUGAUCUGGCUUUGAUUGGAUGUCCAAGUAUUACAUCCAUUCCACCCGGCGCUUGCAGAAGUAAUCUCGCAUCACUUCGUGAUUUGCAUAUCUCGGGUUGUCCGGACCUCGUGUCAAUUGGUGGAGCAAAGGCAGUUGCAAAAAUAAAGUAUGUGUGCAUUUACGAUUGCCCAAAGAUGGAGGAUCUUAAGCAGCCUGUGAGCAGAUGCACAGAUAUGUUGUCAAUUACACUUCGACCUUCACCUUCCUGUUCAUUUCCGGAUCAGUUGUGAGGUGAGGCUGCUUCCGCUGAUCUUAUAAGAGAGUGGGGUAUCUCUUUCCACAUGCUUAUUACCAACUGAGAGUUACCUCGCAUCAAGGCCAGUGAGGAGGAAAAAUGCAUCUCUCCAGCCAAAACUUAUAUGCUGAUAACUACCGGAUCCGCAGAACGGCAGAAGACGCCUUCUAACCGUUCAUAACGCCCCGAUGUCUUUCAUAAUGCCCCGACGCAAUCCAGUAAUUUCUAAUGUGUUUCUACGAGUGUCUGAGAACCAUGAAAACCAGUGAACCGGGAUCUUCCAAAAAAAAAAUGUUUCUACGAGUGUCUGAGAACAUAUUCUGCUGUAUUUGCGAUAAGUGAGGGUAAAACUCGUAUUGCGCUAGUGUUGCCUGCCUUUUAUGGUGUGUCAUUUGCUUGUGUUUUUGCUCGGUUGAUUUGUAAACAAUUUUAUACUCCAAACUUGGCUAGUGACAGCUCGUGCCGACU